Molecule: ribosomal RNA, 478 nt
Filed under: uncultured bacterium
Lineage: Bacteria
Description: partial 16S ribosomal RNA
Rfam family: Bacterial small subunit ribosomal RNA
Source: RNAcentral
GAUGAACGCUGGCGGCGUGCUUAACACAUGCAAGUCGAACGGGAAUUAUUUUAUUGAAACUUCGGUCGAUUUAAUUUAAUUCUAGUGGCGGACGGGUGAGUAACGCGUGGGUAACCUGCCUUAUACAGGGGGAUAACAGUCAGAAAUGGCUGCUAAUACCGCAUAAGCGCACAGAGCUGCAUGGCUCAGUGUGAAAAACUCCGGUGGUAUAAGAUGGACCCGCGUUGGAUUAGCUGGUUGGUGGGGUAACGGCCCACCAAGGCGACGAUCCAUAGCCGGCCUGAGAGGGUGAACGGCCACAUUGGGACUGAGACACGGCCCAGACUCCUACGGGAGGCAGCAGUGGGGAAUAUUGCACAAUGGGGGAAACCCUGAUGCAGCGACGCCGCGUGAAGGAAGAAGUAUCUCGGUAUGUAAACUUCUAUCAGCAGGGAAGAUAGUGACGGUACCUGACGAAGAGGCCCCGGCUAACUACGUG